CCUACGGGCGGCAGCAGUGAGGAAUAUUGGUCAAUGGGCUUACGCCUGAACCAGCCAAGUCGCGUGAGGGAAGACUGCCCUAUGGGUUGUAAACCUCUUUUGUCAGGGAGCAACGCCGGCUACGUGUAGCCGGACUGAGAGUACCUGAAGAAAAAGCAUCGGCUAACUCCGUGCCAGCAGCCGCGGUAAUACGGAGGAUGCGAGCGUUAUCCGGAUUUAUGGGGGUUAAAGGGUGCGUAGGCGGAAUGCCAAGUCAGCGGUAAAAUCGCGGGGCUCAACCUCGCUCCGCCGUUGAAACUGGCGUUCUUGAGUGGGCGAGAAGUAUGCGGAAGGCGUGGUGUAGCGGUGAAAUGCAUAGAUAUCACGCAGAACUCCGAUUGCGAAGGCAGCAUACCGGCGCCCAACUGACGCUGAAGCACGAAAGCGUGGGUAUCGAACAGGAUUAGAUACCCCAGUAGUC
This 460-nucleotide ribosomal RNA is filed under the name uncultured bacterium. RNAcentral's name for it is "partial 16S ribosomal RNA". It matches the Rfam family "Bacterial small subunit ribosomal RNA", at positions 338 to 795 of the family's 1533-position model. The record is from RNAcentral.